GCGGCGGACAGGGCCGACUCGCCGGGGCGCACCGAGAGGAAGUCGGUGCGCACGAGGCCGAGGGAGGACACGGAGCGCGCGGCGGCAUGGUAGAAGAGGCCGAUGGAGUUGAGGAAGUAGCGGACGAGGUCCUCCUGCGUGAGCCAGCAGAAGUCGGCGGCGGCGGCGCCGCCGAUGAGCUGCUUCUUGCGGCCACCAGCGCGGAGCGGGACCGCGAGCACCUGCGCUCCGCUCAGGAUCGCAUCAAGCGCCUCCAAGAUGCUGCAAAAAAGAAACACCACAUUGGUCAGCUGGAAGUGAACUGAAUCUAUGGCGUAAUUAAAAAUGGGCAAGACGCGCAUGACGAGGACGAGAUCCCAAAAGAAUAGCCACUUUUUCAAGAAAGAUUCGAUUAAAACGCGCAAUUUUCGAACCACAUGCGAAGAUCCUGCUUCUAUUCGAAGUAGUAUCCAUCAAACGGCACAAUUUCCGGGCAACAAGUAGACGAAAAGAUAUCCUAAAUUGUGAAGCUGGAAGCGACUGAAAUCUUGCAAGGAGACAGGGGUGCAAGUCGCAAUCUCCGGGGAACCCACACCGAACACACCACAAGAUUGUCUCCAGUGAGUCGGACGAUUUGACCCGAAUGCGGCUUUUUCUUCACCGCAUGACAGCCACUUGUUCGAAUGGCGUCGCAUAUUCCAACUUUCCAAGCAGGUAACCAGAGUUCGUUUGGAGGGGGGGAAAUUGACGCUAACAGUAACAGGUACAUCAAUUUAUCUUACGAAGGUUGCCUUCUCGUAAUAUAUUUCAAGAAGCAGUUCUAUUUCGCAAUUUUUGUAGGGACUUUGACCAAAAAAUCGUGUCUCCUUUGUGACGGGUUUUUAGCAAACUUCCAAUCUUGAACGAGUCCCACGCGUCGUUUGCAGAGAUCCAAGAGAGGGGGGGAGGGGUUGAGCCCUUACCUAGAGCGGGGGUCGACGCGGCGGACCUCUCCGCCGCCGUCCUUGGGCAGGAGCGCGGAGACCGGCUUGGCGAGCGCCGCGGCGGGGCGGGCGAGCGCCUCGGGCUCGGUGCAGAGGAAGCAGAGCAGGUCCGCGAGGCCGACCCGGCCGGCGACGGCGCGCGCUGGUCCGGUCACCGCGACGCAGGCUGCGGCGCCAGAGCGGGCCACCCUCCGGAGCGCGGCGGCUAGUUCGCCGGCGGCGGCGGAGAGCGGGAGCGACCUCACGGCCGGCUUGCCGAUGCACAGGUCCGACACCUCAUUGGCCAGGAGGCUCACUGCCAUGCACUCGCGGGGCGGGCCCUGGGCGGUUUCGAGGAUCGAAACCUCUCUCAAAGAUUUUUUUCAGGGAGGAGGGGAGGGGCGGCGAGGAACCG
RNAcentral lists this long non-coding RNA (1356 nucleotides) under Setaria italica (foxtail millet). RNAcentral's name for it is "long non-coding RNA (SITA_LNC006654)". The record is from RNAcentral. Lineage: Eukaryota; Viridiplantae; Streptophyta; Magnoliopsida; Poales; Poaceae.